ACAGGAGGCUUCAUAUUUGCAUUUUUAAAGCUUUGAAUUGACCAAUGUGAAGGAAGCAUGAGAUGUUUGCCGAAAAUAGAACGUUCUAAACGUACUCUCUCGCGCUCAGUCCGCGCAGCGUAUAAUGUCGGCUAGGGAAGCGUCGGCCGAAAAGGUUUGUGAGGUCGCCGCACCCCUGACCGAGUGGGCUCCGAAACAAGGUUCGACGCUAAAGACAAAACCAGCGGACCCAUCUGGCCAGUGUUGCGGUAGACACCGGUCCAUGAGGGUUCACGUAAGAAGUCAGAAGGUGAUCCGUCGAAUGAGUUUGAAGGGGGUAGAGAUAUUGGUGUACCCCAUUAGCGUUCUGACCACGCAUAGUGAGGCGUCUGACACAAAGCAUGGGUAUGACUCUGAAGACGAAACAGACUUAGUUCAUCUCGACAUGGUAAAGGUAACCCCGUCUGGUGUGAGAGAGAAACCAUCCAUAUCGCAAGCCCUAACGUCCGCCACCGUCUAAAUGAGGCGAGGCAUAAUAAGAGGGCUAGUUUGGCUGAAAGUUGCUUCAGUGACAAACAAGGAUUGUCCGGCCAUUCCCUAAGGAAUCUCAGCACCACAUCCACCUGCCAGAGGCGUGAAUAUUUGGGUGCAGGGAUCUCGACAAUUCGAC
RNAcentral lists this long non-coding RNA (649 nucleotides) under Pelobates cultripes (western spadefoot toad). The record is from RNAcentral. Lineage: Eukaryota; Metazoa; Chordata; Amphibia; Anura; Pelobatidae.